AUGAGCCGAAGGCUCUUCCUCAGGAUUGUGAAUGCCAUCCGGGAGUUCGACAAUUACUUCAUUUGCAAGAAGGAUUGCACCAGCACAGUUGGAUUCUCCUCACUCCAGAAGUGCACGAGAGAUAUGAGGAUGCUUGCAUACGGAGCUCCCGGUGAUAUACUGGAAGACUAUGGACGCAUGGCCGAGUCCACCACCAUUGAGUGUUUGUACAAGUGCUACAGGGUAGUGGUGGCAGUGUUUGGACCACAAUACUUGCGAUCACCCAAUUCUAAAGACACUGAUCGGAUCCUAGCACAGAAUGCAGCAAGAGGAUUUCCUGGGGUUGCUUGGAAGCAUCGACUGCAUGCAUUGGGCAUGGAAAAACUGUCCAUUUGCUUGGCAGGGGAUGUACAAAUGCGCCAAAGGAGCUUGCAGUGUGGUACUUGA
RNAcentral lists this ribosomal RNA (426 nucleotides) under Triticum aestivum (bread wheat). RNAcentral's name for it is "partial small subunit ribosomal RNA". The record is from RNAcentral. Lineage: Eukaryota; Viridiplantae; Streptophyta; Magnoliopsida; Poales; Poaceae.